CCUACGGGCGGCUGCAGUGGGGAAUAUUGCACAAUGGGCGCAAGCCUGAUGCAGCAACGCCGCGUGAAGGAAGACGGUUUUCGGAUUGUAAACUUCUUUCAAUAGGGAAGAAAGAAAUGACGGUACCUAAAUAAUAAGCCCCGGCUAACUACGUGCCAGCAGCCGCGGUAAUACGUAGGGGGCAAGCGUUAUCCGGAAUUACUUGGUGUAAAGGGCGAGUAGGCGGCAGGGCAAGCGAUAUGUGAAAGCCUAAAGCUUAACUAAAGGAUUGAAUAAAGAACUAUCUUUCUAGAGUGCAGGAGAGGCAAGCGGAAUUCCUAGUGUAGCGGUGAAAUGCGUAGAUAUACGGAAGAACACCAGUGGCGAAGGCGGAUUUCUGGACUGAAACUGACGCUGAGGCUCGAAAGCGUGGGGAGCGAACAGGAUUAGAUACCCCAGUAGUC
Molecule: ribosomal RNA, 443 nt
Filed under: uncultured bacterium
Lineage: Bacteria
Description: partial 16S ribosomal RNA
Rfam family: Bacterial small subunit ribosomal RNA
Source: RNAcentral